AUAAAAUUUAUGAUCAAAUUUCUAGAAUUUCAGUUUAAUUCCAACACAUAAUAUCCUUAGGCUUCUUUCACACUGUCAACAAUGAUAACCAAAGAUUAAAGGCAACAAUCAAAGACAAAGACUAAUUAUUUUCGCUUAUCACUUAGCUGUUCACAUCAGUUUGAAGAAGUUCAUGAUGAUUUAUAUUGAGCAUGUGCACACGUUUGUUAGUAAGCAAGUAUGGAUCCACUUGUGCUAACAUUAGUCCUUCAACGAGAAAAUUUUUUAAAUUAGUAAUAAAUCUCAAUAAUCUUUAUGAGAAGCAUGAUACAGCCAAGGUCUUUCUCAUACAGCUGAAAUCAAAGUUUCCUCCAUUUUGCUUUAUAAAAAUGCUUCUUCCUGAUUGGUCAAAGUACAACAAUAAUGAUUAAAUCUUAAAUC
This 420-nucleotide long non-coding RNA is filed under the name Androctonus crassicauda. Lineage: Eukaryota; Metazoa; Arthropoda; Arachnida; Scorpiones; Buthidae. The record is from RNAcentral.